Molecule: ribosomal RNA, 459 nt
Filed under: uncultured bacterium
Lineage: Bacteria
Description: partial 16S ribosomal RNA
Rfam family: Bacterial small subunit ribosomal RNA
Source: RNAcentral
CCUACGGGAGGCAGCAGUGAGGAAUAUUGGUCAAUGGGCGCGAGCCUGAACCAGCCAAGUCGCGUGAGGGAAGACGGUCCUAUGGAUUGUAAACCUCUUUUGUCGGGGAGCAAAAGACGCCACGCGUGGCGUUCCGAGAGUACCCGAAGAAAAAGCAUCGGCUAACUCCGUGCCAGCAGCCGCGGUAAUACGGAGGAUGCGAGCGUUAUCCGGAUUUAUUGGGUUUAAAGGGUGCGUAGGCGGACGCUUAAGUCAGCGGUAAAAUUGCGGGGCUCAACCUCGCUCCGCCGUUGAAACUGGCGUUCUUGAGUGGGCGAGAAGUAUGCGGAAUGCGUGGUGUAGCGGUGAAAUGCAUAGAUAUCACGCAGAACUCCGAUUGCGAAGGCAGCAUACCGGCGCCCAACUGACGCUGAAGCACGAAAGCGUGGGUAUCGAACAGGAUUAGAUACCCUUGUAGUC